This 254-nucleotide ribosomal RNA is filed under the name uncultured bacterium. Its description in RNAcentral is "partial 16S ribosomal RNA". It matches the Rfam family "Bacterial small subunit ribosomal RNA", at positions 524 to 776 of the family's 1533-position model. The record is from RNAcentral.
UACGAAGGGGGCUAGCGUUGUUCGGAUUUACUGGGCGUAAAGCGCACGUAGGCGGUUUGUUAAGUCAGAGGUGAAAUCCCGGAGCUCAACUCCGGAACUGCCUUUGAUACUGGCAAGCUAGAGUCCGGAAGAGGUAAGUGGAACUCCUAGUGUAGAGGUGGAAUUCGUAGAUAUUAGGAAGAACACCAGUGGCGAAGGCGGCUUACUGGUCCGGAACUGACGCUGAGGUGCGAAAGCGUGGGGGAGCAAACAGG